RNAcentral lists this unclassified non-coding RNA (335 nucleotides) under soil metagenome. RNAcentral describes it as "partial contains 5.8S ribosomal RNA, internal transcribed spacer 2, and large subunit ribosomal RNA". The stretch from base 1 to 120 matches the Rfam family "5.8S ribosomal RNA", at positions 35 to 154 of the family's 154-position model. The record is from RNAcentral.
GAUGAAGAACGCAGCGAAAUGCGAUAAGUAAUGUGAAUUGCAGAAUUCAGUGAAUCAUCGAAUCUUUGAACGCACAUUGCGCCCAUUAGCAUUCUAGUGGGCAUGCCUGUUCGAGCGUCAUUUCAACCCUUAAGCCCUGUUGCUUAGCGUUGGGAGCCUACAGUACUGUAGCUCCCCAAAGUUAGUGGCGGAGUCGGUUUCACACUCUAGACGUAGUAAUUUUUUCUCGUCUGUAGUUGAGCCGGUCCCCUGCCGUAAAACACCCGAUUUAUCAAGGUUGACCUCGGAUCAGGUAGGAAUACCCGCUGAACUUAAGCAUAUCAAUAAGCGGAGGA